UGGAGCACAUGUCUGGGAACAGCAGGGAAAGACACAGAUGAGCCUGGGAAAGGAAACAGACGUCCAGAGGUUCAGUGACUGUCGCUGAGAAAACAAAUUCCCACUGUAAUGAGGCACUGCCCGUGUGUCUCUCCGCAAAUGUGGAUCACAGCAGGAAUCGUUCAUAAAUUCUUCAUCCAGCAUUAACAGGAGAUUUGAUUUAAAGGUCUGCUCAGAAGAAUUCUUUAGAAAUGGAGAGGAAAGAGGCCUUUGUGAUUUCCGCCGGUGUCAUCAUUCUUUUAACAUUAACAGGCUCGGUGGAGGGAACAGUAAAAGACAAAUGCACAAAACUGCCAUGUGACAAAACAAGCUUUGAUGCUGCCGUUUAUGAGUACUGUGUUGUCCAAUUCAACCAAACGAUGGCAACAACUGACUACCAACUCAAAUGUCCCUGGCCAACGGCUAGACAAUACUACAUCAACCUGACCACGUGCAUGGAGAUGUUGGGCAAAUAUACAUGCUGCACACAAGUUUCCUUCAAACACAAGAUCUUGCUGGAAAUCCAUCAGAUCUAUUUCUCCUUGU
Long non-coding RNA from Triplophysa rosa, 564 nucleotides. RefSeq lists it as uncharacterized. The transcript is spliced from 4 exons. NCBI's taxonomy places the organism in Eukaryota, Metazoa, Chordata, Actinopteri, Cypriniformes, Nemacheilidae. The record is from RefSeq and is a predicted model, not a curated record.